CAGCUGGGUUCAGUGUUCUGUUGUUGACCCUUGUUUGGGGUUCCUCUGGUUGGCUGGCUACCAUGCAUGUCGUGUGUUGCUUAUAUCAGAAGGUGAGGGUUCUGUGUGGUGUAGAUGCUGUCGGUUAGCCGGCCUUGCUUCUCACAAGGGGCGUUUCUGGGGAGAACGCUGGGGUCUGUGUGGGCUCAAGGAGGAUCCCGUCUCCCCUUAUGUUUCUGGUACAGGAUCAGAUGUGGCCGCCCAGCAGUUGUGCACAUAGGAGGAGAAGGGGCCAGGUGGGAAAAGGGAGCAAGAGGCAGGAAAGAGCACAGACUUCGACGUUCAGACCUGGGUUCCCGUCCAGUUCCAUUCCUUGCACAGGGUAAGUCCGUUUACUAAGCCUUGUCUUCCUCGUGCCACAGAUGAG
Molecule: long non-coding RNA, 406 nt
Filed under: Homo sapiens (human)
Lineage: Eukaryota; Metazoa; Chordata; Mammalia; Primates; Hominidae
Description: non-protein coding lnc-METTL16-1:5
Source: RNAcentral